UUGAACGCUGGCGGCAGGCCUAACACAUGCAAGUCGCGCGGAUGAAGGGAGCUUGCUCCUGGAUUCAGCGGCGGACGGGUGAGUAAUGCCUAGGAAUCUGCCUGGUAGUGGGGGAUAACGUCCGGAAACGGGCGCUAAUACCGCAUACGUCCUGAGGGAGAAAGUGGGGGAUCUUCGGACCUCACGCUAUCAGAUGAGCCUAGGUCGGAUUAGCUAGUUGGUGGGGUAAAGGCCUACCAAGGCGACGAUCCGUAACUGGUCUGAGAGGAUGAUCAGUCACACUGGAACUGAGACACGGUCCAGACUCCUACGGGAGGCAGCAGUGGGGAAUAUUGGACAAUGGGCGAAAGCCUGAUCCAGCCAUGCCGCGUGUGUGAAGAAGGUCUUCGGAUUGUAAAGCACUUUAAGUUGGGAGGAGGGGCAGUAAGUUAAUACCUUGCUGUUUUGACGUUACCAACAGAAUAAGCACCGGCUAACUUCGUG
Molecule: ribosomal RNA, 483 nt
Filed under: uncultured bacterium
Lineage: Bacteria
Description: partial 16S ribosomal RNA
Rfam family: Bacterial small subunit ribosomal RNA
Source: RNAcentral